CCUACGGGAGGCAGCAGUGAGGAAUAUUGGUCAAUGGGAGAGAUCCUGAACCAGCCAAGCCGCGUGAGGGAAGACGGCCCUAUGGGUUGUAAACCUCUUUUGUCGGAGAACAAAACCCGGGACGUGUCCCGGACUGCGUGUAUCCGAAGAAAAAGCAUCGGCAAACUCCGUGCCAGCAGCCGCGGUAAUACGGGGGAUGCGAGCUUUAUCCGGAUUUAUUGGGUUUAAAGGGUGCGUAGGCGGUCCGUUAAGUCAGCGGUAAAAUUGCGGGGCUCAACCCCGUCGAGCCGUUGAAACUGGCAGACUUGAGUUGGCGAGAGGUACGCGGAAUGCGCGGUGUAGCGGUGAAAUGCAUAGAUAUCGCGCAGAACUCCGAUUGCGAAGGCAGCGUCCCGGCGCCAGACUGACGCUGAGGCGCGAAAGCGUGGGGAGCGAACAGGAUUAGAUACCCCUGUAGUC
RNAcentral lists this ribosomal RNA (459 nucleotides) under uncultured bacterium. RNAcentral's name for it is "partial 16S ribosomal RNA". It matches the Rfam family "Bacterial small subunit ribosomal RNA", at positions 338 to 795 of the family's 1533-position model. The record is from RNAcentral.